GACGAACGUUGGCGGCAUGCCUAACACAUGCAAGUCGAACGAGACCUUCGGGUCUAGUGGCGCACGGGUGCGUAACGCGUGGGAAUCUGCCCUUGGGUUCGGAGUAACUCGCCGAAAGGCGUGCUAAUACCGGAUGAUGUCGUAAGACCAAAGAUUUAUCGCCCAGGGAUGAGCCCGCGUAAGAUUAGGUAGUUGGUGAGGUUAAGGCUCACCAAGCCGACGAUCUUUAGCUGGUCUGAGAGGAUGAUCAGCCACACUGGGACUGAGACACGGCCCAG
This 278-nucleotide ribosomal RNA is filed under the name uncultured bacterium. Its description in RNAcentral is "partial 16S ribosomal RNA". It matches the Rfam family "Bacterial small subunit ribosomal RNA", at positions 28 to 334 of the family's 1533-position model. The record is from RNAcentral.